Molecule: ribosomal RNA, 410 nt
Filed under: Verrucomicrobiota bacterium
Lineage: Bacteria; Pseudomonadati; Verrucomicrobiota
Description: Verrucomicrobia bacterium partial 16S ribosomal RNA
Rfam family: Bacterial small subunit ribosomal RNA
Source: RNAcentral
UGGGGAAUCUUGCACAAUGGGCGAAAGCCUGAUGCAGCGACGCCGCGUGCGGGAUGAAGGCCUUCGGGUUGUAAACCGCUUUCAGCAGGGACGAGGCCGCAAGGUGACGGUACCUGCAGAAGAAGCCCCGGCUAACUACGUGCCAGCAGCCGCGGUAAUACGUAGGGGGCAAGCGUUAUCCGGAUUCAUUGGGCGUAAAGCGCGCGUAGGCGGUUUGUUAGGUCAGGAGUUAAAUCUGGGGGCUCAACCCCUAUCCGCUCCUGAUACCGGCAGGCUUGAGUCUGGUAGGGGAAGGCGGAAUUCCAAGUGUAGCGGUGAAAUGGGCAGAUAUUUGGAAGAACACCGGUGGCGAAGGCGGCCUUCUGGGCCACGACUGACGCUGAGGCGCGAAAGCUAGGGGAGCGAACAGG